This 1011-nucleotide long non-coding RNA is filed under the name Anas platyrhynchos platyrhynchos (common mallard). Its description in RNAcentral is "lncRNA (ENSAPLG00000018324.1)". The record is from RNAcentral. Lineage: Eukaryota; Metazoa; Chordata; Aves; Anseriformes; Anatidae.
CCCGCUCAGCAACACGUGACGUCACGGGGGGGACCCCGGCGCCGCGCAUUGGUGGAGAGUCGCGCCUGGCCCCGCCCCUCGGGAGGCGGCGGCCAAUCAGCGCGCCGCGCUGCCUCCAUGUGCGAGCCAUGCGCCCGCGGGGGGCGGGGCCGGGGGCUGCCCGCUCGGGCUCGGCGCAGCUCCGCGGGGGCGCAGCGCGGCUCAGCCCCGCGCAGGGCGCUCAGCGCAACAACGCCGCGCAGCGCAGUGCAAAGCAAAGCAAAGCAAAGCAAAGCAGCGCGGUGCAAAAAGCAAAGCAAAGCAACGCGAUGCAACGCACAGCAGCGCCCCGGGGCACGGCGGCCCCUUUGUUCGCAGCACGCCUCCCCCCCCACACUCCCUUCGUAGCCCCUCUUCCCCGCUCCGCGCUGGGGCAUGGCGCAGUGUGCGCGCACCCUCCAGCAGCGGCAGGCCGGCCGCUCGCCCUGCCCUGCCUUGCCCUGCCUUGCCCCGCGGCUACCUGGCGAGCGCCGCCGCUUGCCUACGUGACUGUGCCGAUGCCCCGGCGGGGGCAGCGGGGACGCGCCGCCGCCUCCUCCCUCCCCGAGGACCCCCCCCCAGGGGCUGCGGGACACCGGCCCCGGCCGUGGGGCAGCGGGGACACACGGCAGGGGGACCGGGCACACGGCAGGGGGACCGGGGACGGGGGGGUGCCAGCCCCGCGGCGCUGCCCCCCCAGCCCCGAGCAGGGCAUUCAUGCCCCCCCCCCCAUCCUCCCCGUCUCGCUCACUCACUUUUAUUCUCCUUCUCGAUCCGCUCCAGGUAGCUGGCGGCCUCCAGCAGCACCUGCACGUUGCGCAGGAAGGUGUCCAUGCCCGCGUUGCACAGCUCCCCCAGGGGGCAGCGGGCCCCGCCGGCCGCCCCCGCUCCCCCCCGCGGCUCCCUCCGCGGCCGGCCGCGCUUCCCCAUGCCCCGGCGGCUCCCAAGCCCCGGGCCCUGCACGGUGGCGGCGGCGGCGGCGGCGCUGCGUGU